AAACUGAAGAGUUUGAUCAUGGCUCAGAUUGAACGCUGGCGGUAUGCUUAACACAUGCAAGUCGAACGGUAACAGCAGGAGCUUGCUUCUGGCUGACGAGUGGCGGACGGGUGCGUAAUGCAUAGGAAUCUGCCUAGUAGUGGGGGACAACUCGAGGAAACUCGUGCUAAUACCGCAUAAGCCCUACGGGGGAAAACGGGGGAUCUUCGGACCUCGUGCUAUUAGAUGAGCCUAUGUUAGAUUAGCUUGUUGGUGAGGUAAUGGCUCACCAAGGCGACGAUCUAUAGCUGGUCUGAGAGGAUGAUCAGCCACACUGGGACUGAGACACGGCCCAGACUCCUACGGGAGGCAGCAGUGGGGAAUAUUGGACAAUGGGCGAAAGCCUGAUCCAGCAAUACCGCGUGUGUGAAGAAGGCCUGAGGGUUGUAAAGCACUUUCAAUUGGGAGGAAUACCUAGUGGUUAAUAGCCAUUAGAUUGACAUUACCUUUAGAAGAAGCACCGGCUAACUCCGUGCCAGCAGCCGCGGUAAUACGGAGGGUGCAAGCGUUAAUCGGAAUUACUGGGCGUAAAGCGUUCGUAGGCGGUUUGUUAAGUUAGAUGUGAAAGCCCCGAGCUUAACUUGGGAACGGCAUUUAAAACUGGCAGACUAGAGUUUGGGAGAGGGAAGUGGAAUUUCAGGUGUAGCAGUGAAAUGCGUAGAGAUCUGAAGGAACACCAGUGGCGAAGGCGGCUUCCUGGACUAAAACUGACGCUGAGGAACGAAAGCAUGGGUAGCAAACGGGAUUAGAUACCCCGGUAGUCCAUGCCGUAAACGAUGUCAACUAACUGUUGGGUACUUCGGUACUUAGUGGUGGAGCUAACGUAUUAAGUUGACCGCCUGGGGAGUACGGCCGCAAGGCUAAAACUCAAAUGAAUUGACGGGGGCCCGCACAAGCGGUGGAGCAUGUGGUUUAAUUCGAUGCAACGCGAAGAACCUUACCACCCCUUGACAUCCAGAGAAUCUGUUAGAGAUAAUUGAGUGCCUUCGGGAACUCUGUGACAGGUGCUGCAUGGCUGUCGUCAGCUCGUGUCGUGAGAUGUUGGGUUAAGUCCCGUAACGAGCGCAACCCUUAUCCUUAGUUGCCAGCACAUAAUGGUGGGAACUCUAGGGAGACUGCCGGUGAUAAACCGGAGGAAGGUGGGGACGACGUCAAGUCAUCAUGGCCCUUAUGGGGUGGGCUACACACGUGCUACAAUGGCCAGUACAGAGGGCUGCGAACUUGCGAGAGUAAGCAAAUCCCAGAAAGCUGGUCUUAGUCCGGAUUGGAGUCUGCAACUCGACUCCAUGAAGUUGGAAUCGCUAGUAAUCGCGAAUCAGAACGUCGCGGUGAAUACGUUCCCGGGCCUUGUACACACCGCCCGUCACACCAUGGGAGUGGGUUGCAAAAGAAGUGGGUAGACUAACCUUCGGGAGGUCGCUCACCACUUUGUGAUUCAUGACUGGGGUGAAGUCGUAACAAGGUAGCCCUAGGGGAACCUGGGGCUGGAUCACCUCCUUA
Molecule: ribosomal RNA, 1539 nt
Filed under: Methylococcales bacterium
Lineage: Bacteria; Pseudomonadati; Pseudomonadota; Gammaproteobacteria; Methylococcales
Description: bacterial SSU rRNA
Rfam family: Bacterial small subunit ribosomal RNA
Source: RNAcentral